CCCUUAGAUGUUCUGGGCCGCACGCGCGCUACACUGAUACGCUCAACGAGCUCCUUGGCCGAAAGGUCCGGGUAAUCUUUGAAAUCGUAUCGUGAUGGGGAUAGAACAUUGCAAUUUUUGUUCUUCAACGAGGAAUGCCUAGUAAACGCAAGUCAUCAGCUUGCAUUGAUUACGUCCCUGCCCUUUGUACACACCGCCCGUCGCUCCUACCGAUUGAAUGAUCCGAUGAAUAUCAUGGAUUGAGGAUGCAAGUAGGUUAGCCUAUCUUCAUCUUCGAGAAGUGAAGUAAAUCUUAUCAUUUAGAGGAAGGAGAAGUCGUAACA
This 323-nucleotide ribosomal RNA is filed under the name uncultured eukaryote. Its description in RNAcentral is "partial 18S ribosomal RNA". It matches the Rfam family "Eukaryotic small subunit ribosomal RNA", at positions 1470 to 1796 of the family's 1831-position model. The record is from RNAcentral.